RNAcentral lists this ribosomal RNA (107 nucleotides) under Callithrix jacchus (white-tufted-ear marmoset). Lineage: Eukaryota; Metazoa; Chordata; Mammalia; Primates; Cebidae. The record is from RNAcentral.
GUCUGUGGCCAUAUCACCCCGAAUGCACCCAAUCUUGUCUGAUCUCGGUAGCUAAGUAGGGAUGGGCCUGAUUAGUACUUGGAGGGGAGAAAAGGAGCCCACUGGAA